GAUGAACGCUGGCGGCGUGCCUAAUACAUGCAAGUCGAGCGAACAGACGAGGAGCUUGCUCCUCUGACGUUAGCGGCGGACGGGUGAGUAACACGUGGAUAACCUACCUAUAAGACUGGGAUAACUUCGGGAAACCGGAGCUAAUACCGGAUAAUAUAUUGAACCGCAUGGUUCAUUGGUGAAAGAGGUUUUUGCUGUCACUUAUAGAUGGUUCCGCGCCGCAUUAGCUAGUUGGUAAGGUAACGGCUUACCAAGGCAACGAUGCGUAGCCGACCUGAGAGGGUGAUCGGCCACACUGGAACUGAGACACGGUCCAGACUCCUACGGGAGGCAGCAGUAGGGAAUCUUCCGCAAUGGGCGAAAGCCUGACGGAGCAACGCCGCGUGAGUGAUGAAGGUCUUCGGAUUGUAAAACUCUGUUAUUAGGGAAGAACAAAUGUGUAAGUAACUAUGCACGUCUUGACGGUACCUAAUCAGAAAGCCACGGCUAACUACGUG
Molecule: ribosomal RNA, 497 nt
Filed under: uncultured bacterium
Lineage: Bacteria
Description: partial 16S ribosomal RNA
Rfam family: Bacterial small subunit ribosomal RNA
Source: RNAcentral